AAUGAACGUUGGCGGCGUGGAUUAGGCAUGCAAGUCGAGCGAGAACCGUCGCAAGAGGGGACAGCGGCGCAAGGGACAGUAAUGUGUAGAUAUCUGCCCUCAGGUCCGGGAUAGCUGCGGGAAACUGCAGGUAAUACCGGAUGAUAUCUCCGGAUCAAAGGUGUGAUUCCGCCUGGAGGAUGAGUCUGCAUCCUAUUAGCUAGUUGGCAGGGUAAUGGCCUACCAAGGCUUUGAUGGGUAGCGGGUGUGAGAGCACGACCCGCGUCAUUGGGACUGAGACACUGCCCAGACACCGUACGGGUGCUGCAGUCGAGAUCUCGCAAUGGCGCAAGCCUGACCGAGCGACGCCGCGUGUGGGAUGAAGG
RNAcentral lists this ribosomal RNA (365 nucleotides) under uncultured bacterium. RNAcentral describes it as "bacterial SSU rRNA". It matches the Rfam family "Bacterial small subunit ribosomal RNA", at positions 29 to 414 of the family's 1533-position model. The record is from RNAcentral.